GAUGAACGCUGGCGGCGUGCCUAAUACAUGCAAGUCGAGCGAACAGACGAGGAGCUUGCUCCUCUGACGUUAGCGGCGGACGGGUGAGUAACACGUGGAUAACCUACCUAUAAGACUGGGAUAACUUCGGGAAACCGGAGCUAAUACCGGAUAAUAUAUUGAACCGCAUGGUUCAAUAGUGAAAGACGGUUUUGCUGUCACUUAUAGAUGGAUCCGCGCCGCAUUAGCUAGUUGGUAAGGUAACGGCUUACCAAGGCAACGAUGCGUAGCCGACCUGAGAGGGUGAUCGGACAGACUGGAACUGAGACACGGUCCAGACUCCUACGGGAGGCAGCAGGAGGGAAUCUUCCGCAAUGGGCGAAAGCCUGACGGAGCAACGCCGCGUGAGUGAUGAAGGUCUUCGGAUCGUAAAACUCUGUUAUUAGGGAAGAACAAAUGUGUAAGUAACGAUGCACGUCUUGACGGUACCUAAUCAGAAAGCCACGGCUAACUACGUG
This 497-nucleotide ribosomal RNA is filed under the name uncultured bacterium. Its description in RNAcentral is "partial 16S ribosomal RNA". It matches the Rfam family "Bacterial small subunit ribosomal RNA", at positions 28 to 507 of the family's 1533-position model. The record is from RNAcentral.